This 336-nucleotide ribosomal RNA is filed under the name uncultured bacterium. RNAcentral's name for it is "bacterial SSU rRNA". It matches the Rfam family "Bacterial small subunit ribosomal RNA", at positions 28 to 356 of the family's 1533-position model. The record is from RNAcentral.
GACGAACGCUGACGGUGUGCUUUAGACAUGCAAGUCGAACGAGAAAGCCCUUCGGGGUUAGUAAGUGGCGAACGGGUGAGUAACACGUGGGCAAUCUGCCCCUCCGCAGGGGGACGAACCGGAGGAAACUCCGGCUAAUACCCCGUAAGUUCAAAGGGAGGCAUCUCUCUUCGAAGAAAGGUAGCUUCGGCCAUCCGGCGAGGGAUGAGCCCGCGGUGCAUUAGCUAGUUGGUGGGGUAACGGCCUACCAAGGCGACGAUGCAUAGCUGGUCUGAGAGGAUGAUCAGCCACACUGGGACUGAGACACGGCCCAGACUCCUACGGGAGGCAGCAGUC